ACCUUGCCUGGGGUCCAUGGGAGCUCAAAAUGCCACUCAUUUCCUCCACAGGACCAGAUGCCUGAGCUAGGAGAGGCCUCAUUCCUGCUGUGAUCCUACCAUGGAUACUUGGCUCCUAUGUUGGGCAAUUUUUAGUCUCUCGAAAGCAGGACACACAGAACCUGAAGUCACCCAGACUCCCAGCCAUCAGGUCACACAGAUGGGACAGGAAGUGAUCUUGCAGUGUGUCCCCAUCCCUAAUCACUUAAACUUCUAUUGGUACAGACAAAUCUUGGGGCAGAAAGUCGAGUUUCUGGUUUCCUUCUAUAAUGGUAAGAUCUCAGAGCAGUCUGAAAUAUUUGAUGAUCGACUCUCAGUUGGAAGGUCUGAUGGAGUACAUUUCACGCUGAAGAUCAAGUCCACAAAGCUGGAGGACUCAGCCAUGUACUUCUGUGCCAGCAAUGAAGCCACAGCCUUGCAAAGACACCUCCAGCCUGUUCAAAAACCCUCAUAGAUCUGCCUCCCUCCCAGCCGCCAGCACCCACUUCCUGUCUAAGAAAAGAAAGUCUCUGGUUGGGUUUGUUCUUGCUGCCGUCUCCAAAUAAACAGAUAUCCGAAAUUGAAUUAACAAAGAUAUGUUGGACAGGAAUGGCCAGAUGCUGUAGGAUUUGAAGAAUGUUUACAGAUACUACAGAGUGUGAUGGUGGGCUCUGAAUAUGGGAGAAUUGUACACGACCAAGUAACCUGUAUGUUCUCCCUAUUCCCAUUUUGCAUCUUCAUUAGAAUUUUUUUGUUUUAGUUUUUUAGGAAAACAUAUUUUAACUCCCAGGAUAGCGAGAUGAUUAUGGAGUGGGAGUUCAGGUAUUCCCAUGAGAAUACAGAGGAUUGCCACAGAAAUCUUCAGAAGGAGAAGGGGCUUGGUACAAGGAACUCAAUAUCAAUCGGUCUUGUUCAGAAUGUGGUCAAGAGCAGAACUAUCUGAUGACCCUGUCACCCCGGUGUGCUACAUUUGGGCUAAUGAUGCUAGCUCACAAAAUAACAAGUUAAGAGAGUAGAAAACAUGGAGUCUAAUAUUAGGAUACCAUUUUACACCAUUUCAAGGUCAGCAGAGGUCUAGACCAGCAUGAGAAUCGCCAGAAUAAAGCCAGGCAGUGCAGGAACAGAAUUCAGCAGCAAAAGUUAAGAGGCAUCUAGAGGCAGAGGUAGGAAUGAAUUUGUCACUUUCAACUUAACAUGAGGCAGCCAGAUUAACUUUUUGAGUUUCAUUUAAGAAACUAUUGCUCUUUUAAACAUAUCUACUGAAUUCUAAAUUUUAGGUAU
Molecule: non-coding RNA, 1299 nt
Organism: Cercocebus atys (sooty mangabey)
Lineage: Eukaryota; Metazoa; Chordata; Mammalia; Primates; Cercopithecidae
Source: the annotation of a RefSeq genome assembly